CCUUUAUUUAUUUUAGGUGUGUAUACGUGUGGAAGACCCGAUUAUCAAUUAUAUUACGCUACAUAUGAAAUUGCAAUGAAAUUUCAUGAGCUCUGUGUCACCAAGUCAGAAUAGAUAUUAAUGUUUCCAGGACAUUUAUUUAUACAUAUAUAUGUAUAGAUUAAUUAAAGUCAAGUCAGAAUAAUAUUUCGUGAUAGAUAAAUAAAAUAAUGACCUUAGUGAUUUUAAACCCGUAAUAUCCGAUGCAAGGAGAUGUUUUUCACUGUAUUGAUUGAGCAUCAUGGAAAAGCCAAGUUGGUGGGCAAGGUUAUUGAGGAUCAUACAAAAUGGGCUUUCGUCCAAACAUCUCCUUGAAAAGAUUCAUGCAGUAAAUGAGGAGAAGGAAAGGAAUAUUUGAAGAUGCAUGCAAGAUGUUCGAUGAAAUGCUUGAGAGAAGAAAAGGAAUAUUUGAAGGACCCUACAAAAUGGGCUUUCCUCCGAACAUCUCCUUAAAAAAUUUCAUUCAAUAUAUGCCCAGAAGGGUUGCUUGCAGAGGGGAAUUUGGAAGAUGCAUGCAACAUGUUCGAUCAGAUGCUUGCGAGAAGAUUUCAUCCAAUGCAGCCCAUUUUUUUUCCCUGUUAGUUAAGUGAUAAAUUAACAUGCCAAAA
Molecule: long non-coding RNA, 647 nt
Organism: Carica papaya (papaya)
Lineage: Eukaryota; Viridiplantae; Streptophyta; Magnoliopsida; Brassicales; Caricaceae
Source: RefSeq, a predicted model, not a curated record